RNAcentral lists this ribosomal RNA (484 nucleotides) under uncultured bacterium. Its description in RNAcentral is "bacterial SSU rRNA". It matches the Rfam family "Bacterial small subunit ribosomal RNA", at positions 30 to 507 of the family's 1533-position model. The record is from RNAcentral.
AUUGAACGCUGGCGGCANGCCUAACACAUGCAAGUCGAGCGGUAGAGAGAAGCUUGCUUCUCUUGAGAGCGGCGGACGGGUGAGUAAUACCUGGGAAUCUGCCUGAUAGUGGGGGAUAACGUUCGGAAACGGACGCUAAUACCGCAUACGUCCUACGGGAGAAAGCAGGGGAUCUUCGGACCUUGCGCUAUCAGAUGAGCCCAGGUCGGAUUAGCUUGUUGGUGAGGUAAAGGCUCACCAAGGCGACGAUCCGUAACUGGUCUGAGAGGAUGAUCAGUCGCACUGGAACUGAGACACGGUCCAGACUCCUACGGGAGGCAGCAGUGGGGAAUAUUGCACAAUGGGGGAAACCCUGAUGCAGCCAUGCCGCGUGUGUGAAGAAGGCCUUCGGGUUGUAAAGCACUUUCAGUGGUGAGGAAGGAUGUAAGAUUAAUACUCUUGCAUAUUGACGUUAGCCACAGAAGAAGCACCGGCUAACUCCGUG